This 301-nucleotide ribosomal RNA is filed under the name uncultured bacterium. Its description in RNAcentral is "partial 16S ribosomal RNA". It matches the Rfam family "Bacterial small subunit ribosomal RNA", at positions 509 to 807 of the family's 1533-position model. The record is from RNAcentral.
CAGUAGCCGCGGUAAUACGUAGGGUGCAAGCGUUAAUCGGAAUUACUGGGCGUAAAGCGUGCGCAGGCGGUUAUAUAAGUCAGAUGUGAAAUCCCCGGGCUCAACCUGGGAACUGCAUUUGAGACUGUAUGGCUAGAGUGUGUCAGAGGGGGGUAGAAUUCCACGUGUAGCAGUGAAAUGCGUAGAUAUGUGGAGGAAUACCGAUGGCGAAGGCAGCCCCCUGGGAUAACACUGACGCUCAUGCACGAAAGCGUGGGGAGCAAACAGGAUUAGAUACCCCAGUAGUCCCUGUCUCUUAUAC